RNAcentral lists this transfer RNA (75 nucleotides) under Bacillota bacterium. Its description in RNAcentral is "tRNA-Gln". It matches the Rfam family "tRNA". Rfam says of the family: Transfer RNA (tRNA) molecules are approximately 80 nucleotides in length. Their secondary structure includes four short double-helical elements and three loops (D, anti-codon, and T loops). The record is from RNAcentral. Lineage: Bacteria; Bacillati; Bacillota.
UGUUGGGUAGACAAGUGGUAAGUCAACAGGCCUUGAACCUGUCCAGCGUUGGUUCGAAUCCAACCCCAACAACCA